CAUGGUCAGGAAAAUACAGUUUCCUAAAGAAAAUCAUUGUUCAGAUGUUGAGAAAGGUUUGGAUGGAGCUCCCAAUAGUAUUUAUCCUCCUCCCUUGGUUAGGAUCUGGUUUACACUGCUUCAAUUCGGAUACAGACAGCUUAGAAUUAGUAACCUUUUCCUGCUUUUUAUUGCAAUUAUUGAGGCUAUUUGCAGUGAUGAACUUCACAAGAAAUAUCUCAGCUUUGCUCCUCUAGGAGUAAUAUUUUGUCUUAAUUUUGUUCUUGCUUUCCAAGAACUAAGAAAACUUAUGAAAUGGGAGAAAGGUAUGAAUGAGAGGAAUGAAAGUUUUCAAAUCAUUGACCUGGUUAAACGCCAACUACGCCAGGACACAAAGUAUCUAGAAGAUCUGGACGUGGGUGACGUUAUCUAUCUCGAACCUAAUGAUAGCACCACAAAGGAGGUAUAUGUACCAGCAGAUGUGGUAUUGCUGGGUGUACAGUGCCAAUGCCACAAUGUGGAGAGUGGAAAGACAUGUGGUCGCUGCUAUAUAUCCACACAACAUUUGAAUGGAGAUACAGAAGUUAUAACUAAACAAGGACAUCCAACCCUCAUGAAUAGAAAUAAUAUUGAUCAUCUGAACUACACUGGGGAGCUAGUAUACGAUGAACCCGAGGAGGGACUUCAUCAGUUCAGUGCCAAGUUUAUUGGGAAGUUUGUUGGAUCUAAAACAGAAGAAUUAAAUUUCAACAAUACUAACUUUAUUCCUCGUGGAAGUACAAUGUUCCAUGCCCAGUCUGUUAUCUGCCUGGUGGUAUAUGUUGGACAGGAAACUAAGAUAGGAAAAAUGAUGGACUCGAAAAUAAAUGUGAAACGACGCUCUAUUUCUGAUCUAGCUCUGGACAAAUGUUUCUUGAGUAUGAUUUAUCUACUGGGGUUUUUAACUUUGUUACUUACUUGUAUUUUCUAUUCUGAACUUAAUUUAGGAUCCUCCUCUCUUUUUUAUGGCGUUAUCAUCGACCCUACUCAGGAGACAUUUCAAACCAACCAUUUUGGAAAUGUGUUAAUUCAAUCCUUUGUAGAAUUGCAAUAUAUCCUCCCUGUUACUCUACUUAUUACAAUAGAAAUUCUUCGAAUUCUCCAAGCCUGGAAGAUUGAAAAAGAUCCUAAACUUACAGCAUCCAUGUUUGCUAACCCACAUUUUACAGAUGAUCUUGGUAAAGUGUCCCACGUAGUACUAGACGGAAAAGCAAUUAUUACAACUAAAGAAAUAGAGGUCAAGUCUCUAAGUGUUCCUUAUGAAAGUUACAAAGUUGAUAUUGCACUAUUAAAAGGAGUUCUUGCUAGUUCAGAUUGUUCUUCUGAAAGGCUUCAUCAACUGCUGAUUAGUAUUGUCCUCAUUUCAAAUUCAACUUCUUUAACGAUCCAAGAGAGAAACGCAGAGGACAGCGCAUUCUUAGAUAUGGCAGAACAACUUGGAUAUGUUGCAACUAUACACAAUGAUUCUCAAACACAGAGUUUGAAUCUGCUAGAUCUAACCUAUGAAGUUGUGGAGAUUCUGUCUUCACACUCUAAGGACAGUGUUAUGAAUGGAAUUAUAACGAAAACAAUGCAACAGAAUAAAGAUAUCUACUCGUAUUUUAUAAAAGGCACAAGAUCCCAACUGGAGGAGUAUAUGGACAUGAGUCUGACUGCAGGGGUUACUGACUUUACCCAUCGUGGAAUGAGCACUUCUUAUUUUGCUUCCGGAGUCUUGAUAAAUUCAGAGGUAGAACUGCUUCUAAACUACUCUAAACCUCAAAGACAAGUUGCUAGACUUACUUGGGUUGAGAAGAACCAAGAGCUUUUCAAACUAAAACCUCAAAACAUGCAAAUGGUUGGCUCUGUAGGUAUGCGGAACAAAGUAAACUUGAAGUGUAAGGACCUAUUCAGGGACUUCAGAUCUGCAGGGUUAAAAACAAUAAUUCUUUCUCAGAAUGCACAGGAGUGUAUUAAAGCCUCAUGUGUUGAGGCAGGCAUAUUAACUGGAGACAAGAUGGAUCAACUUCUGAAGUUUGAAAACCUGAAUUCUAUGAUAAAAGCAAAAACUGACAGAAAAGUCAACUGCAUAAUUGUUAAUGGAAAUACUUUUGCGGAAAAUACGCUUCGAAUUCCUUUUCUAUUGGAAACUCUUAGCCAACAUUAUGAUAGGAUAGUCGUAUCAGGUAUGACAAGCAGGCUCAAAAAACAAAUAGUAGAAGGUCUACUCUCUCAAUUAAAAAGAAAAGAUCCACGGUUAAAACAACGGCUUCUUAAUGUGGUUUGGCCGUUCUCUCAGAAGAGGCGGGAAGCUGUUCUGGUGAUAGGAAACAGUGCACAUGAUGUUCAAAUGAUUCAAGUUGCUGAUUUGUCAAUCUACUUUAAUUCCGAGGAUUCAGAGGAAACCUUUGAGGAUGCUAGAACUUACGGAAACUUCAACGCCAGCUCGUUCCAAGAUUUAAGACGGCUCUUCCUAGUUUAUGGGAUACAAAACUCUUUCAGUGUUUCUAAGGUUUCAUUUUUUAUUCUGUACAGCAAUUUUCUGAGAAUAUCGAUUCAAUUCUUAAUCUGGAUUUUUCUGGAAAAGAAUAUGUCUACUUCUGUCUUUGAAAGUUUUGACUUUUUCUGUUUUAACAUUUUGAUUGGAGUACUUGGGCUCGUCAUUGGUAGGUUUGAGCAAGUUUAUUCAGCUGAUGAUAUUAUGAAGAAGCCUGAUCUCUACCGACAUAGAGGCAAUGAGGUUGAUAGUUCGGCCACUUUAUUCCUUUGGUUACUCUCAGGGUUCAUUCACAGCUUCUUCAUUGUCCUCUGUUUUGCUACUUUGGAAAAUGGAUUUGUUAAUGACCGUUUAACUGGAGGAUCAGAACUAACUUUCCGCAUUUUCCUCAUUCUAGCAAUCAAAAUUGCAGUAACUGAACCAAAUAUAAUCCCAACAAAUCGCUUCUUCAAUCCUAAGUUUGAAUUCAAUAAGAUAACUACUGUAGUUGCAGUAUCUCUACCUCUACUCUAUAUACUCAAGCUAGCAGUAUAUUUUGCAUUUCAAGGGCAAUUGGCAGUAGCAUCAAACUCUGAAGAAAUCUGAUAUUCAAUCCUUUAUUCUGGUGGGUGUCAUUAUUCACAGCUGGAAUAUGUACAAUCGCAGAUUCAGUGUACAAGGGUGUGAAGCAAAUUCUC
Molecule: unclassified non-coding RNA, 3171 nt
Filed under: Eurytemora carolleeae
Lineage: Eukaryota; Metazoa; Arthropoda; Copepoda; Calanoida; Temoridae
Description: probable phospholipid-transporting ATPase NEO1
Source: RNAcentral